Pleuronectes platessa (European plaice) is the source of this 684-nucleotide long non-coding RNA. RefSeq lists it as uncharacterized. Lineage: Eukaryota; Metazoa; Chordata; Actinopteri; Pleuronectiformes; Pleuronectidae. The transcript has 3 exons. The record is from RefSeq and is a predicted model, not a curated record.
GUUAUCACCGCACCUGGCCGCCUCACCUGGUCGCCUUUUGUUAGCUGGGUCGUGCAGCUCGCCGUUGUUUGGCAGUUCCGGGUCUUCCUUCUCCCGUAUCGGCCCCAAUUGUAGGGCAUGCGAGUGUUUUCCUCCUCUGCCGGUUGCAGCGGGGAGCGAUCAGCUGAUCGAUCGAGUUGCACGUAAUUGUGCUGCUCGAUGCAAGCGAUCUCCUUCCUCCCCUUUGAUGUUCAUUCAACUCCUGACGGGUUGACGUGUGUGUGGGCGGUUUCUGCCAGCACGUUUUUCCCCCCCCUCUUCACGCUGCUGUUGGCCGGCUGCUGUUUUGCCCACUGGCUUAUAUAGCCAACACAUCCAUCCUACUCUGCAUCUCCUACUGUGCUGUACCUACCACCGAGUAUGGUGACUGCUGCCUCAUCCUCAGUCUCAUCUUAAUCUAUUCAGUUAACCGACUUCUAACUGAUCUUAUUGAUGAUAUUAUUUGUGUUUUGUGGUUUGCUUUGCAUGUUUUUGGUUUAAUUCGUUUUCUUAGUUAUUUUGGUUUGGCUUAAUUGCUUUACCUAUUUAUUUGGAUUUAUCAGUUUGGAUAAAUCUCCAUUACUUUUGAUUUAAUUUCUUUGUUAGUUUUCUUUUGUUUGCAUUUAUUGAGUUUAUUUGCCCUCCCUUAUUUGUAUUUUGUGUUGU